CACGUGAAACCCUGUGGGAAGCAGGAGGGACCAUCCUCCAAGGCUAAAUACUACUUAGUGACCGAUAGCGCAUAGUACCGUGAGGGAAAGGUGAAAAGAACCCCGGGAGGGGAGUGAAAUAGAACCUGAAACCCUGCGCUUACAAGCUGUGGAAGCACUUUAUAUGUGUGACCGCGUACUUUUUGUAGAACGGGCCAACGAGUUACGAUAGUAAGCUAGGUUAAGUACUUAAGGUAUGGAGCCGUAGUGAAAGCGAG
RNAcentral lists this ribosomal RNA (257 nucleotides) under Clostridium sp. NCR. RNAcentral describes it as "partial 23S ribosomal RNA". It matches the Rfam family "Bacterial large subunit ribosomal RNA", at positions 423 to 681 of the family's 2925-position model. Lineage: Bacteria; Bacillati; Bacillota; Clostridia; Eubacteriales; Clostridiaceae. The record is from RNAcentral.